This is a long non-coding RNA of Xiphias gladius (swordfish), 1584 nucleotides long. RefSeq lists it as uncharacterized. The transcript has 3 exons. The record is from RefSeq and is a predicted model, not a curated record. NCBI's taxonomy places the organism in Eukaryota, Metazoa, Chordata, Actinopteri, Istiophoriformes, Xiphiidae.
ACACCACUGAUAAGCUCCACAGCGAAGGACGCAGAGCAGCUUUGGCCAGAACAAGAGAUAGGCCUGACAAAGCGCAGUUUAUGAGAGAUUCCUUGCCCCCUCUGCAGAGAACCAGAGGAACUGCAUCCUAGUAUAGCCAUUUUCCAGUCAUCAAACUGGGACCCAGGAAUGGGAGGAGGAGACUGAGCAGACAAACCACAACUGACUCAAACAUCCCCAGGAGAAGAAGGGGGAAGGUUGUGACAAACGGAGAAGCAAGUGACCAAGACAAAGACAGAUACGUAUGAGUAGAACAGAUGAAGAGGAGGUUGAAGAGAAGACAUGAUUUGUCAUCAAAGAUUAUUGGAAUAUAUGAGAUUUCAGAGAAUAUGUGAUAAAUUCUUUAUGUUCUGGUAGGUGGCACAUAGUGCCCCAUUGUACUGCAUUAGUGAUUUUUUUCUCAAAUGUACUUUAUAUCUCUCAAAAUGAAAUCUUCUUAUGAAAACUGAAUCGUGGGUGUGGUAGCAAAUACAAAAGAAAUAGAGAAGUACUGAAAUCUUUUUAAAAAUGUUUUUUUAAUGAUACAUUUUAUCAUAUGAUGAUUACCUCUGUAGCAAAAUAAAGAAUAUUUAGUUCUGCAACUAAUGAUUAAUUUCAAUAUUAUUUAUUCUGAUGAUUAUCUUCUUGAUUAACUGUUUAGUCAAUAAUAUGUCUGAAAAAGGGGAAAAAGCCAAUCACAAUUUCCUAAAACCCAAGGUGACUUCUUUGAAAUGCUUGUUAAUCUAGCCAACAGUCGAAACCCCAAAGAUGUUCACAUUACUAUCAUAUUGUACAAAUAAAGCAGCAAAUUCUCACAAUUUAGAGGCUGGGACUAGGUAAAGUUUGCCUUUCUUUCUUGAAAAAUUACAAUUAAACAGUUAUCUUGGUUAACAAACUGAUUCAUUUUCUGUUGAAGAGAUAACUCACUAAUAUUUCCAGUUCUAUUUUUGAUAUCACCCAAUCUAUAGCGCUGAUAACACUGAAUAGAGCAAUGAAGUUAAAUAGACUACAAUCAAAAUAUUUACUCACACCUUUCAUACUUAAGUCCAAUAACAUACAUUUAUUUCAAACUUUAAAGUUCUUUUGGAAUGGGGUUACUUUGACCAAGAAAGGUUUAGGAUUACCAACAAGAUGUGUGAUUCCAAUUAAAAAAGAAAAUAAAAAGGAGUAAAUAAAUAAAUCCAAUUUUGCUCUGAAUUCAAAGAGCAAAUGCUGUUUUAUAAUUUGCCAAAACUCUUGUUUCAUUCAAUAAUAGCAAUCCAGUGUGAACUGGCACCACUGUAAUGUAAUAAUCACAGUUUUGGUGCUGUAUCCGUGUUGGUUCCCCAUCAUUAUAGAGUGUGAAGCAGUACUGUACCCUGCCUCAGUACCCAACAGCAGCAGAAUAUAAAGAAUAAUACGAAGUGGAUCCUCCAGUCAUCCCAGUAUCCCAAUCCAAUUCAAUUUCUUAAUUGUUGGGCAAUAUUUGAUUAGUUGACGUGUUGGUCUGCAUACAGUAUUUGGAUACACAGUAACAGCUGAGCUGAUAAUGAGGUCUUAAUGAUUUGUAUGUUUAGUUUGUUGACU